CCGCCCUAAUAGAAAUGCUGUAGGGGGACCCAGCACACCAGGAUGUGGGCAGGCUGCUGUCCUGUUUGAGGAAAUGCCCUCAGCCAUCCCAGAUGAUUCAGCCCUGCUAACAUGCUGGAAUUGGCGUGAUGAAACUGAGACCCAGAAGGGAAGGGACUCCCCCAAGACCAUCCAGCUGGAACUUGAACCCUGAAGAAAGGAGUCUUCAGAUAGAUGGAAUGGGAGAAUGACAGCCAGAGAAAGAGGAAGCAAACAUUGAGAGAGUGGGGAGCCUGCGAUGAGUGCUCCCCAGGGAAGGGGCAUCGGUAAGUCAUCUCUGAGCCCUCACAGAGUCCAACUAGCCACUUGUCAAAUGUGUGAAACUCCUAUACAUGCUUCAGAACCCCAUCUCGUGUCUCCUUUUAUGUGCAACUUUUCUUGAUCCAGCCAGCCAGUGGAGCCUCGACUUCCCUUCCAGGUUCCUCCACCACAGACCCCUUUUUCUGUGCUGUACUUGUUCACAUGGGGCAGGGGACUUCGUGCCUGGCUCUGUCUCUCCAAGGAUGGGCAGGAGCUAAGGUCUCGUGGAAGCCAGGAACUGCCUAGCAAGGAACUGGCCCAGAGGCUGU
Pipistrellus kuhlii (Kuhl's pipistrelle) is the source of this 608-nucleotide long non-coding RNA. RefSeq lists it as uncharacterized. NCBI's taxonomy places the organism in Eukaryota, Metazoa, Chordata, Mammalia, Chiroptera, Vespertilionidae. The transcript is spliced from 3 exons. The record is from RefSeq and is a predicted model, not a curated record.